This 2161-nucleotide long non-coding RNA is filed under the name Fukomys damarensis (Damara mole-rat). Its description in RNAcentral is "lncRNA (ENSFDAG00000027119.1)". Lineage: Eukaryota; Metazoa; Chordata; Mammalia; Rodentia; Bathyergidae. The record is from RNAcentral.
UGGCGCUUUCUUUUUCUUUCUCCAUCGCUUGGUCUGUGUAUCUGUUACACACCCCCGCAAUGAUAAUGAGGUUAGAGAUUAGGGAAUGAAAAACAGGAUGUGACUUGUCACAUUACAAAGAGGCUGAGUGGUGGCUGAAAACAGGGUGUAGCCUGAUCCAAAAUGGAGGCUGAAAUACCUGUUGUGACUGGCUGAUCGUGGCCAGGUUGCCCUGGCAGAGGAGCUUCUGAUUGACUGGGUCUCCGGGACAGUGACAGAUGGCAGCCACUGACGUCCCCGCCACGUGAUCUUCCUGCUCUGUUGUCUUCCUGCUUCUCCCGUGGUCUAUGCUGCUUGUGAGAUCCAUUUCUUCUUGGUCUUCUCUUUCCUUUUUUUUAGAUAAAAGUUGCAUACACCUCUUUUAAAAAGUUACUCUUUAAAUAGGAUGAGGAAAGAGGUAUUUUAAGAAAGAGCUAGCGUGGCAGCUUUCUUUACAGAAUUCCUUAAACCUGGCUGACCCUCGGAAACAUUUGGCGGAGCUUUUCUGUUGUUGUUUUUGUUUGGAUGUGGAUUCCUGGGCUCAUCCAGAGAGGUGCUGAUUUGCAGCUCCAGGUAGAGCCCGGAUGUCUGGACCUUUCAGCGCUGAGCUUAGUCCAGGACGCACCGCUCUCCAGUCUCCACUCCUACUGCUGCAGAUGAGGAAGCGGACACCAGGGAGGCGAAGCCGCACUGGCUCGGCUACAGCGUUCGGUGGCACUGAGAGCACAUGUUAUUUCACUGUGUGUGCCUCACCCUUUCCACUCCGUCGCCGGACCGAGAGGGCGAAGUGCACAGGAGAACUCACGUCAUCCGUCCACCUCCCUGGCUAAGGAAAAGCAGUACGAAUCUCAUGGCACGAGAGCAUACUCUAGCGGUCGUGAAGGAAAGCAAACACUUCCGAACUGCUGAAUUUAUCCACUCCUGGGAGUACCAGAUAAAUACUCCUUGUUUGGGCAAAAGGUUAGGUAGGCUUCCCUCACAAAAGAGCAAAGGAAAUUAAAAGAACAUUGUGUGACAACUCCUAGCCUUAGAAUAAAGCAACUUCAAGUCUUCUAAUUCUCCUUUCAGAAGAAAUAAAUUUUUCUUUUAUCCAAUGCUCAAUGCCUAGGGCAAACAAACAAGAAUUAUUAAAAAUCUUCAAACAAUCUAAAAUAACAUCCUACAUAGUGAGGUUUUAGAAAAUAUAUUUUUUCCCCUUUCCUUCUUAAAUCCGAGCCACAUUCAGAUUUUCCUCUUAGAGAGUCUGUUUAAAGAAGGGCAAGGGAACAGAUACUAGAUAUAAUACCUAAAGUAAACUCCCUUCAGCCAUGACAGUGUUAUUACAAACUUGAGUGAAUACCAUUAUUUCGGAUAAAUAAAAACAAUGGACCAGAACUGAUUUUACGUAAGGAAAUACUGUUCAAUUUGUUGCAAGAUUUGCUGAAGUCUCUUCUGGUCUAUCAAGUGAUGAUUAAUUAUAAAUAAGAGUGUUUGUCUUUGCUUUAAGAUAGCAUUCUUAUAAAAACACACUCAUACAUUAAGUAUACAAUACUGCCAGCGUGUGUGUAUAAGUACGUGUGUCUUCAAAAUGCAGGAAAUGUGCCCUUGGUUUAAAAUGUAAAUUAUACUCUUAAAAUCAUACUAAUGUGAACUGGGUGGGGAAAAAAAUUCAACACCACCACACACACAAAAAAUAAAAAACUUCUUAAAAGCCAGAAGCCUUGUGUUCUAUUGUGUUUAGACUUAAAAUAUGGAACUAUUUAGAAAGAAUUAGAGAGAUUAUAUUUAUUUGAUUUCAAGUUAUCUCAGCAAGCAGCACAUUUUUCAUACCUCUUUGGAAGAACAGCAGGUCAAAUGACACAUUUGUGAGUGACUCUUUGAAAUAUUUCAGCCACACCACGGGGUCCACCUGACCUGAGCACCGUAGAUCAAAGGAACAAAAGCUUAUGUUUUAAAUGUUCCUUUGAGAGGCUUUCCAGGGGUGAGGAAACUCAGGAAGCUGUCAUAGGCCUUGCCUUUUAUUUUUGUCCUAUGACACUAAUCAGUUUAAUUAUAUUUCUAACUCAUGACUUGGGGUCAUAAUUAAUCUUUUUCCAAUGUAAACAUUAUAUAGCAUACUUUUACCAUUUUCCAAGAAAAAGAAAAGUCUGUUUCAAACUCACCC